UUAUGUUAUAAAGAAAGCGGAGAAGAAAUGGUGGGACAGGUUGAUCAAGCCGGAAGGAAAGCCUCCUGUGUUUGUCAAAGUUGAUUGGGAUAAAUGGGUUGACGAAGAAGAAGAGAACGAGAGAGCAGGAAUGGACUUCGAUGACAUGGAUUUCUCGAACUUAGACAUGGGUGGGGAUGAUGAUCUUGAUUUGGAUGAUUUGAAGGAACAGGAAGAUGAAGUCGAAACGAAAGAAGAGGAUGGGCAGAAAGAGAUGGAGGUGGGAGAACCGCCUGCACCGGUGGCUGAGGAAGCUAAGUCUUGAUUGCUUUGGAAAGACAGAAAACGGAGACCCCUAUCCUUGACACGAGCUGUGUGAAAGCAUUCUCACAUUAGCAUGUAUGCCAUACUCUCUCUAUGUUGUCAUGGCAGUAAGGAUCAGUUCUGGUAAAAGGACAUUUCUGGAGUCAAAAUAUCAUGAUACAUCUUGUUUAUGGCUAUAAACGUUUUAUUUCUUUUUUUAUGGGUGUAAAGGUGUCUGUCACGCCAAGGCGAUAGCAUUGAGAACGAGGAAUCCCCAUCUGUGAAAGAUUGGGGGAAAAAUUGCUUGAAACUAGAGUGAAGAUG
Molecule: long non-coding RNA, 606 nt
Organism: Prosopis cineraria
Lineage: Eukaryota; Viridiplantae; Streptophyta; Magnoliopsida; Fabales; Fabaceae
Exons: 5
Source: RefSeq, a predicted model, not a curated record